CCCUUAGAUGUUCUGGGCCGCACGCGUGCUACACUGAGUGGAUCAGCGGGUCAGGUUGCGCGAAAGUGUUUCCUAAUCUUUAAAUCCGCUCGUGAUGGGGAUUGACGGUUGCAAUUUUCCGUCAUGAACGAGGAAUACCUUGUAAGCGCGGGUCAUCAUCCCGCGCUGAAUACGUCCCUGCCCUUUGUACGCACCGCCCGUCGCUCCUACCGAUUGAGUGGUCCGGUGAGGCUUUGGGAUCUGAGCGGAAAGAGCGUUUCGCUGUUUCUGCCCGGAAAACUCAGUCGAACCUUAUCAUUUAGAGGAAGGAGAAGUCGUAACA
Molecule: ribosomal RNA, 322 nt
Filed under: uncultured eukaryote
Lineage: Eukaryota
Description: partial 18S ribosomal RNA
Rfam family: Eukaryotic small subunit ribosomal RNA
Source: RNAcentral